This 494-nucleotide ribosomal RNA is filed under the name uncultured bacterium. Its description in RNAcentral is "SSU rRNA". It matches the Rfam family "Bacterial small subunit ribosomal RNA", at positions 26 to 523 of the family's 1533-position model. The record is from RNAcentral.
AGGACGAACGCUGGCGGCGUGCUUAACACAUGCAAGUCGAGCGGUAAGGCCCUUUCGGGGGUACACGAGCGGCGAACGGGUGAGUAACACGUGGGUUACCUGCCUCGAUGACCGGGACAACCCGAGGAAACUCGGGCUAAUACCGGAUGUGCCCGCAAGGGGAAAGGAAGCUUCGGCCUCCGCAUUGAGAUGGGCCCGCGGCCCAUUAGCUUGUUGGUGAGGUAACGGCUCACCAAGGCUUCGAUGGGUAGCUGGUCUGAGAGGACGAUCAGCCACACUGGGACUGAGACACGGCCCAGACUCCUACGGGAGGCAGCAGUGGGGAAUCUUGCGCAAUGCGCGAAAGCGUGACGCAGCAACGCCGCGUGGGGAAGAAGGCUUUCGGGUUGUAAACCCCUUUCAGUUGGGACGAAGCUUCUCCGGUGAAUAGCCGGAUGGAGUGACGGUACCUUCACAAGAAGCACCGGCUAACUACGUGCCAGCAGCCGCGGUAA